CCAUGGGAAACCGGCUGUGCUGUGGGGGAAGCUGGGAGCCAAACAAGACCCACAUUGAACAUCCUGAAGCAGCAACAGUUAUGGCAGAAUGGCACGAAGGACUAUGAAACAACGGCCCCGAUGUACGAGCGAGUGCUACACCCGUCUGUGCCGCAAAAGAAAAGUUCAGACUGCACAUCGGAGGAGAAUGACUUGCACUAUGCAGACAUUCAUGUGCUCAGCCAAAU
This 227-nucleotide long non-coding RNA is filed under the name Rattus norvegicus (Norway rat). RNAcentral describes it as "long non-coding RNA NONRATT028548". The record is from RNAcentral. Lineage: Eukaryota; Metazoa; Chordata; Mammalia; Rodentia; Muridae.